UUGCCCAGAUGUGAGGGAUAACCCUUGGAAACGAUGGCUAAUACCGCAUGAUGCCUACGGGCCAAAGAGGGGGACCUUCGGGCCUCUCGCGUCAGGAUAUGCCUAGGUGGGAUUAGCUAGUUGGUGAGGUAAGGGCUCACCAAGGCGACGAUCCCUAGCUGGUCUGAGAGGAUGAUCAGCCACACUGGAACUGAGACACGGUCCAGACUCCUACGGGAGGCAGCAGUGGGGAAUAUUGCACAAUGGGCGCAAGCCUGAUGCAGCCAUGCCGCGUGUGUGAAGAAGGCCUUCGGGUUGUAAAGCACUUUCAGUCGUGAGGAAGGUGGUGUAGUUAAUAGCUGCAUUAUUUGACGUUAGCGACAGAAGAAGCACCGGCUAACUCCGUGCCAGCAGCCGCGGUAAUACGGAGGGUGCGAGCGUUAAUCGGAAUUACUGGGCGUAAAGCGCAUGCAGGUGGUUUGUUAAGUCAGAUGUGAAAGCCCGGGGCUCAACCUCGGAAUUGCAUUUGAAACUGGCAGACUAGAGUACUGUAGAGGGGGGUAGAAUUUCAGGUGUAGCGGUGAAAUGCGUAGAGAUCUGAAGGAAUACCGGUGGCGAAGGCGGCCCCCUGGACAGAUACUGACACUCAGAUGCGAAAGCGUGGGGAGCAAACAGGAUUAGAUACCCUGGUAGUCCACGCCGUAAACGAUGUCUACUUGGAGGUUGUGGCCUUGAGCCGUGGCUUUCGGAGCUAACGCGUUAAGUAGACCGCCUGGGGAGUACGGUCGCAAGAUUAAAACUCAAAUGAAUUGACGGGGGCCCGCACAGGCGGUGGAGCAUGUGGUUUAAUUCGAUGCAACGCGGAGAACCUUACCUACUCUUGACAUCCAGAAAACUUUCCAAAGAUGGGA
Molecule: ribosomal RNA, 890 nt
Filed under: Vibrio sp. RAS33
Lineage: Bacteria; Pseudomonadati; Pseudomonadota; Gammaproteobacteria; Vibrionales; Vibrionaceae
Description: bacterial SSU rRNA
Rfam family: Bacterial small subunit ribosomal RNA
Source: RNAcentral